UGAGGGGGAGUGUUGAACUGAAGAGAAGAUAGAAGGUGUUGGAAGAGUUUGGGAGAAGGUGGCCGAUGGUACAAAGAUAGGGCAAGACCUUCAGGAGUGUCCCUUGGUAUCCAGAAGUGAUCUGAUGGUUGUGCAAAGAUAGGGCCAAGUCUAGGAGGGACUUAGAAGCAUAUAGUUGAGGAGAAUGGUCGAGUGUGCAAACUUAGGGCGAGGCCGUACGGAACGUACGGACCUGACCGAUCCGGAAGUUCAAGACUCGACCAUCUGAGUCUAUUUGAAGUUGGUGCAAAAAUAGGGCAAAGGAUAGCUCUUAAGAGAAGAAGACAAAAGAGGCUCUUAAGAGAAGAAGACAAAAGAAGAAGCUGGCGCCAAGAAGAAGAAGCUAUAGUGACCUUGUAUCUGAACAGAUAC
This 411-nucleotide long non-coding RNA is filed under the name Brassica napus (rape). Its description in RNAcentral is "long non-coding RNA (BNAP_LNC023957)". Lineage: Eukaryota; Viridiplantae; Streptophyta; Magnoliopsida; Brassicales; Brassicaceae. The record is from RNAcentral.